GAUGAACGCUGGCGGCGUGCCUAAUACAUGCAAGUCGAGCGAACAGACGAGGAGCUUGCUCCUCUGACGUUAGCGGCGGACGGGUGAGUAACACGUGGAUAACCUACCUAUAAGACUGGGAUAACUUCGGGAAACCGGAGCUAAUACCGGAUAAUAUAUUGAACCGCAUGGUUCAAUAGUGAAAGACGGUUUUGCUGUCACUUAUAGAUGGAUCCGCGCCGCAUUAGCUAGUUGGUAAGGUAACGGCUUACCAAGGCAACGAUGCGUAGCCGACCUGAGAGGGUGAUCGGCCACACUGGAACUUAGACACGGUCCAGACUCCUACGGGAGGCAGCAGUAGGGAAUCUUCCGCAAUGGGCGAAAGCUUGACGGAGCAACGCCGCGUGAGUGAUGAAGGUCUUCGGAUCGUAAAACUCUGUUAUUAGGGAAGAACAAAUGAGUAAGUAACUAUGCACGUCUUGACGGUACCUAAUCAGAAAGCCACGGCUAACUACGUG
RNAcentral lists this ribosomal RNA (497 nucleotides) under uncultured bacterium. RNAcentral describes it as "partial 16S ribosomal RNA". It matches the Rfam family "Bacterial small subunit ribosomal RNA", at positions 28 to 507 of the family's 1533-position model. The record is from RNAcentral.